GACGAACGCUGGCGGCGUGCCUAAUACAUGCAAGUAGAACGCUGAAGGAGGAGCUUGCUUCUCUGGAUGAGUUGCGAACGGGUGAGUAACGCGUAGGUAACCUGCCUGGUAGCGGGGGAUAACUAUUGGAAACGAUAGCUAAUACCGCAUAAGAGUAGAUGUCGCAUGACAUUUGCUUAAAAGGUGCAAUUGCAUCACUACCAGAUGGACCUGCGUUGUAUUAGCUAGUUGGUGAGGUAACGGCUCACCAAGGCAACGAUCCAUAGCCGACCUGAGAGGGUGAUCGGCCACACUGGGACUGAGACACGGCCCAGACUCCUACGGGAGGCAGCAGUAGGGAAUCUUCGGCAAUGGACGGAAGUCUGACCGAGCAACGCCGCGUGAGUGAAGAAGGUUUUCGGAUCGUAAAGCUCUGUUGUAAGAGAAGAACGAGUGUGAGAGUGGAAAGUUCACACUGUGACGGUAUCUUACCAGAAAGGGACGGCUAACUACGUG
This 495-nucleotide ribosomal RNA is filed under the name uncultured bacterium. Its description in RNAcentral is "partial 16S ribosomal RNA". It matches the Rfam family "Bacterial small subunit ribosomal RNA", at positions 28 to 507 of the family's 1533-position model. The record is from RNAcentral.